AGAGUUUGAUCCUGGCUCAGGAUGAACGCUGGCGGCGUGCCUAACACAUGCAAGUCGAGCGAUUCUCUUCGGAGAAGAGCGGCGGACGGGUGAGUAACGCGUGGGUAACCUGCCCUGUACACACGGAUAACAUACCGAAAGGUAUGCUAAUACGAGAUAAUAUACUUUUAUCGCAUGGUAGAAGUAUCAAAGCUUUUGCGGUACAGGAUGGACCCGCGUCUGAUUAGCUAGUUGGUAAGGUAACGGCUUACCAAGGCGACGAUCAGUAGCCGACCUGAGAGGGUGAUCGGCCACAUUGGAACUGAGACACGGUCCAAACUCCUACGGGAGGCAGCAGUGGGGAAUAUUGCACAAUGGGCGAAAGCCUGAUGCAGCAACGCCGCGUGAGCGAUGAAGGCCUUCGGGUCGUAAAGCUCUGUCCUCAAGGAAGAUAAUGACGGUACUUGAGGAGGAAGCCCCGGCUAACUACGUGCCAGCAGCCGCGGUAAUACGUAGGGGGCUAGCGUUAUCCGGAAUUACUGGGCGUAAAGGGUGCGUAGGUGGUUUCUUAAGUCAGAGGUGAAAGGCUACGGCUCAACCGUAGUAAGCCUUUGAAACUGGGAAACUUGAGUGCAGGAGAGGAGAGUGGAAUUCCUAGUGUAGCGGUGAAAUGCGUAGAUAUUAGGAGGAACACCAGUUGCGAAGGCGGCUCUCUGGACUGUAACUGACACUGAGGCACGAAAGCGUGGGGAGCAAACAGGAUUAGAUACCCUGGUAGUCCACGCCGUAAACGAUGAGUACUAGCUGUCGGAGGUUACCCCCUUCGGUGGCGCAGCUAACGCAUUAAGUACUCCGCCUGGGAAGUACGCUCGCAAGAGUGAAACUCAAAGGAAUUGACGG
Molecule: ribosomal RNA, 879 nt
Filed under: uncultured bacterium
Lineage: Bacteria
Description: bacterial SSU rRNA
Rfam family: Bacterial small subunit ribosomal RNA
Source: RNAcentral